This 591-nucleotide ribosomal RNA is filed under the name Bacillus sp. enrichment culture clone CBMAI_638. RNAcentral's name for it is "bacterial SSU rRNA". It matches the Rfam family "Bacterial small subunit ribosomal RNA", at positions 134 to 711 of the family's 1533-position model. Lineage: Bacteria; Bacillati; Bacillota; Bacilli; Caryophanales; Bacillaceae. The record is from RNAcentral.
AAGACUGGGAUAACUCCGGGAAACCGGAGCUAAUACCGGAUAGUUCCUUGAACCGCAUGGUUCAAGGAUGAAAGACGGUUUCGGCUGUCACUUACAGAUGGACCCGCGGCGCAUUAGCUAGUUGGUGGGGUAAUGGCUCACCAAGGCGACGAUGCGUAGCCGACCUGAGAGGGUGAUCGGCCACACUGGGACUGAGACACGGCCCAGACUCCUACGGGAGGCAGCAGUAGGGAAUCUUCCGCAAUGGACGAAAGUCUGACGGAGCAACGCCGCGUGAGUGAUGAAGGUUUUCGGAUCGUAAAGCUCUGUUGUUAGGGAAGAACAAGUGCGAGAGUAACUGCUCGCACCUUGACGGUACCUAACCAGAAAGCCACGGCUAACUACGUGCCAGCAGCCGCGGUAAUACGUAGGUGGCAAGCGUUGUCCGGAAUUAUUGGGCGUAAAGGGCUCGCAGGCGGUUUCUUAAGUCUGAUGUGAAAGCCCCCGGCUCAACCGGGGAGGGUCAUUGGAAACUGGGAAACUUGAGUGCAGAAGAGGAGAGUGGAAUUCCACGUGUAGCGGUGAAAUGCGUAGAGAUGUGGAGGAACACCA